Molecule: unclassified non-coding RNA, 2231 nt
Filed under: Penaeus chinensis
Lineage: Eukaryota; Metazoa; Arthropoda; Malacostraca; Decapoda; Penaeidae
Description: protease inhibitor 2-like, transcript variant X1
Source: RNAcentral
CCGCCGUCAGUCGUGACCGAUACGCGCAGGAGAGUCGGCAGUGUGUCUCCGUCUCCGUCUCCGUCUGCAGUGGUUGUAGGAAGGUCUCCGAAGGCGUCUUUGUGUUGUGAAGUUUGUGAUCACAAAACGAACCGACGUCACGGACUCACGUGCUGUUGCUAUCAAGAGACAUGGUUCUUCCCCAAGGCCACAGGAAGCAUACGAUCACGGUCAAUGUAUGAAGCACCUAUUGUGCCGUCAGCAGUCACCUGAGAGACACAGAAGUAGAAACACCGAGUCCUUAAGCGAACAAAGAAAUAUCCUCUAAAAUCUUGUGGUUACUCUCUCUAAAUAACACUUCCGGGCUGUUAAUGUUACUGACCGCUGACAAGUUGAUGCCUACGCUAUUUACGCCUACCUUUCCCAAGACGAAUGCGGGAGCUUUUUAGAUUAUAGUGAUUAACUGCCGGAUCUGAUAUGGAGCCUGCUAUCAAAAUUUGGCCUGUUCUCUUUCUCCUAAUUGGCGAUGUGGCAGCCAUGAUGAUCUAUCAGGGUGACGGUUGCCUGGAGAAGUGUCCCGUCACACACCACUACAGCCCCGUGUGUGGUACGGAUUACGUCACAUACAUCAACCCCAGUACGCUCCUCUGCCACAAGAAGUGCACUGACUCCAGUCUGGGCGUGGCGCACUUCACCAGCUGCGUCGACUGGUUAACCGGCAACUACCGCUUAUGAGCACCUGUCUGCAGGGUCAACGCUACCUCCUCACCCGCAAAGCAGCCUAGAAAGAAAACGGCCUUUCAACAAGGAGCUACACCCCUCUGCAAUUUUCAGCUCAGGAAGAAGUUGCAUGGCGGCUCUGUUGCUUCCUGGGCUUCACUGACGCCGUUCGUUGCAAGGUCGAUCGGUUCCUCCUGUUGUCGCAGGAUUUAGUACAAAGUGCCGUCGCGGAAUGAGGCGAUUUAGACCUUAUGUGUCAAACUCGGUCCGUCACAAGGAUUUUACUUCAGUUGAGUUAUGGCACUAAGGAUCAAGUCAGCCUCAUUUUAGCGAAAUCGGCAUAGGCAAAUAAUACACGCAAGCACGCACGCGCACACACACACGCACAUACACGUGUUUAUACACACACACACACACACAUGUAUAUAACAUCAAACGUGGUUUGUAUUGUAAAGGUUAAAUUAUAACAUAGUCCCCUCCUACAUUUUUUUCCAUGUAGGAGAAACCUACAAAAGGAACGUAGGAACUGUUUAUCAUAACAACUGUGUUCCUUCUACAUUGCUUGUGUUUUUUGGGCAAAGAGUUUUUGGGAUGAUAUUUCCUGUUUUUAAGUCCGCACAGGUCAUUCUUUCCUCUUUUACACCAGUUUGGCAUCUUUGCUUUAUUCAUAUAAAAUGAAAUUCAACAUUUAUUUUCCCAAAAGGUGUGACUAUUUGACAACUAAAAUUGGUGUUGAAAUUUAGGCUGUUUUAAUUCGUAAUGGUGAAACGGGGGAAAGAAGUAAUACUUUACCGAUAACAGCAUCCCAUGAGAUAAAGUAUAUACGAAAAAAUAUCUUGUCUCCUUUAUCCCUUUUCAGAUAAUUUGACCUGUGAUAGAUACAGAUAUAAAACUAUCUGGCCGCUGAUAAUUUACCUUUAUGUCACUGAUUUUUUUUCUCUCCAAAUUCCGUAUUCCGGAGAACACCACCAGUUAAUAGAUCGCUGAACUUUAAGAUUCUCGGUACUAGAGUUAGAAUUCGGGGAAUGACUUUUUUUUUUUUUUGCCGUGAAAGGCUCCCGCCGCAGAAAAGCAAACUGAAAGAUAACACUGUGUGAAUUUCUUUAAUGGUGAACAAAGAAACUAAGAGAUGGAUCGCGGAAUGGUGUUGCUCAACUUAAAAAACAGUGUUAUAUAAUUCCGUGGUCUGUUUUUUUAGAAUGCGGUAGGGAAUCUUUUACUGAUGAGCAUUUCAGUUCAAAAUCUGUUUCACCAAAUGUACUUCAAGGAUGGCACAAAGAUAUCCUUAAAAUGUCCUCAGGUAAAAGGACAUCAACAGUGUCUAAACAGUGUAUCAUGCAAGCAGUUCACAUUUACGUUUCUUUCGUUCUUAGGAACCAUAACUGAAAAACGAGAGUAGUAAGAACUGUUAUAAAACUGAUGUGUAUAGUUGUAAAAAGUAAGCCUGUACAUCCUUUCUCUGCUCGUUUCGUUUUUUAUGAGACAUUUAAUGUGAGCUUGGUCUUUAAACACACACACACACACACACACAC